CCCAGACUCCUACGGGAGGCAGCAGUGAGGAAUAUUGGUCAAUGGGCGGGAGCCUGAACCAGCCAAGUCGCGUGAGGGAAGACGGCCCUACGGGUUGUAAACCUCUUUUGUCGGGGAGCAAAGCGAACCACGUGUGGUUCAUUGAGAGUACUCGAAGAAAAAGCAUCGGCUAACUCCGUGCCAGCAGCCGCGGUAAUACGGAGGAUGCGAGCGUUAUCCGGAUUUAUUGGGUUUAAAGGGUGCGCAGGCGGAAGAUCAAGUCAGCGGUAAAAUUUCGGGGCUCAACCCCGUCGUGCCGUUGAAACUGGCGUUCUUGAGUGAGCGAGAAGUAUGCGGAAUGCGUGGUGUAGCGGUGAAAUGCAUAGAUAUCACGCAGAACUCCGAUUGCGAAGGCAGCAUACCGGCGCUCAACUGACGCUCAUGCACGAAAGCGUGGGUAUCGAACAGGAUUAGAUACCCCGGUAUC
This 466-nucleotide ribosomal RNA is filed under the name uncultured bacterium. Its description in RNAcentral is "bacterial SSU rRNA". It matches the Rfam family "Bacterial small subunit ribosomal RNA", at positions 330 to 795 of the family's 1533-position model. The record is from RNAcentral.